CGGGUAAAGCAGACGGCCGCGUCCCGGUAAAAACGGGAUGAGGAAAGUCCGAACACCGUUUGGAGCAGCAAUGUUCCUUUCACGGAGAGCCGCUAACGGCGGCCGGGAUAUAGCAACGCGAACGAAAGGACACGUGCCGGACGUCCCGUUGUAAACCCAGGGAAAGUCCCGGUGAAAACCGGGAUCGACGCAUCGUAAAAAAUGCGCCGAUGCCACAGAGACCAUACUACCCGGUCUGCAUGCAGACCGGGGAAACGUGAAAAGUGAUGCGGUGCGGUUGUCCGUCGAAAGACGCGCAACUGCUACGUAUUUCCCGCGGCGGCAACGCCGCGAGGCGGUAAACCCUCUCCGGUGCAAGAGCAAGAGUCUGUUUUUCGAUCGCGAACAGUGGUCGGAAAAGAGACGACUGGUAGCUCGCAACGAGGUGCCGAGCAAUCGGCAUCCCAGAUAGAUGGCCGUCACUUCUUCAUCAUCGGGUUUGGGGGACUUGUCCCCCGAAAUCCGCAUGGCAAAGAAGGACAGAAUUCGGCUUAUCGCUUCAUCCGCGCA
Molecule: RNase P RNA, 549 nt
Filed under: Patescibacteria group bacterium
Lineage: Bacteria
Also listed under: 2 other names
Description: RNase P RNA component class A
Rfam family: Bacterial RNase P class A
About the family: Ribonuclease P (RNase P) is a ubiquitous endoribonuclease, found in archaea, bacteria and eukarya as well as chloroplasts and mitochondria. Its best characterised activity is the generation of mature 5'-ends of tRNAs by cleaving the 5'-leader elements of precursor-tRNAs.
Source: RNAcentral